UCGAGAAUUUUUCACAAUGGGCGAAAGCCUGAUGGAGCGACGCCGCGUGGGGGAUGAAUGGCUUCGGCCCGUAAACCCCUGUCAUUUGCGAACAAACCCUGCGAUUUAAAAGAUGGCGGGCUGAUUGUAGCGAAAGAGGAAGGGACGGCUAACUCUGUGCCAGCAGCCGCGGUAAUACAGAGGUCCCAAGCGUUGUUCGGAUUCACUGGGCGUAAAGGGCGCGUAGGUGGCCGGGUAAGUUCGAUGUGAAAGCUCUGAGCUUAACUCAGAAAUGGCAUUGAAUACUAUCCGGCUCGAGGGUCGGAGGGGGGACUGGAAUUCUCGGUGUAGCAGUGAAAUGCGUAGAUAUCGAGAGGAACACCAGUGGCGAAGGCGGGUCCCUGGACGACUCCUGACACUGAGGCGCGAAAGCCGGGGGAGCAAACAGG
RNAcentral lists this ribosomal RNA (428 nucleotides) under uncultured bacterium. RNAcentral describes it as "bacterial SSU rRNA". It matches the Rfam family "Bacterial small subunit ribosomal RNA", at positions 355 to 776 of the family's 1533-position model. The record is from RNAcentral.